This 460-nucleotide ribosomal RNA is filed under the name uncultured bacterium. Its description in RNAcentral is "partial 16S ribosomal RNA". It matches the Rfam family "Bacterial small subunit ribosomal RNA", at positions 338 to 795 of the family's 1533-position model. The record is from RNAcentral.
CCUACGGGAGGCAGCAGUGAGGAAUAUUGGUCAAUGGACGAGAGUCUGAACCAGCCAAGUAGCGUGAAGGAUGACUGCCCUAUGGGUUGUAAACUUCUUUUAUAUGGGAAUAAAACAGGGUAUGCAUACCCUCUUGUAUGUACCAUAUGAAUAAGGAUCGGCUAACUCCGUGCCAGCAGCCGCGGUAAUACGGAGGAUCCGAGCGUUAUCCGGAUUUAUUGGGUUUAAAGGGAGCGUAGGUGGAUUGUUAAGUCAGUUGUGAAAGUUUGCGGCUCAACCGUAAUAUAGCAGUUGAAACUGGCGGUCUUGAGUGCAGUAGAGGUGGGCGGAAUGCGUGGUGUAGCGGUGAAAUGCUUAGAUAUCACGAAGAACUCCGAUUGCGAAGGCAGCUCACUGGACUGCAACUGACACUGAUGCUCGAAAGUGUGGGUAUCGAACAGGAUUAGAUACCCCGGUAGUC